RNAcentral lists this unclassified non-coding RNA (321 nucleotides) under Hevea brasiliensis (rubber tree). The record is from RNAcentral. Lineage: Eukaryota; Viridiplantae; Streptophyta; Magnoliopsida; Malpighiales; Euphorbiaceae.
GUAGGAACCCUCUCCAAUCAAACAGUCAGCAUCGAAAUUUUUCGUAACCUCCUUCAGUUCCUCAAAUGAUAUGGCAGGGACUUCAAUGGGCCGCAUUUUCACUAUUGGAGGACUUUUAGGUGCAGUUUGCCGUUUGUGAUAGCCUUCAUCAGUUCCUGCUGAAGCUUUUACUUGGUACAUGCUGCUGUUAUCAGCAGGCUUCUGGAUACCAUCUUCUUCGCAGCAACCAAAGCAUCCCAUUGUUUUCUUUGCUCACGGAUGCGCCAACGUCGAUCAGAUAUCAAAUUCGACGGAAACAAGUCCUCAAUGCUUCAAUCAGAG